AGGGGAAGGUCGUACCGACGUGCUUGUUGGAGUUCGCAUGGCUUUAGGGGCGCUUGGUGAAGUGUCGAUUUGGCGAGUAAUGUUGGUGUCUUGUGUCCUCGGUGUGUUCCUCGUGUUGUGGAGGCUAUUGGCAAAUAUGUGUGGUAAGAACUCUGGGUGUUGUUGCCGUUUCCAAAACGGGCUGGUUUGUCCUGAACAGAACAAGAAUAAUUGUGUCCAUAUGGCCAGGAAUUUGUUCUCUGUAGCUGCUUGUUUGUCUUGUGAGCGUUGAGCUUAAUGUUUUUGUAGCUCAGCCCAUGCUCCCAUUCCAACUUGAACUAUGGUUUGCCAUUCCUAAUAUAAUAGAACUCCAAUGGGGAACUGGCCGUUGCGAAGGUCAUGUUUGCAUCGUUGAUACCAGAUAUACCAUAACAUAGCCCAUCGAAGUAUAUCCUUGGGGAUAUGUUUAGAUAACGAGCAUGGGCUGCCGGCGUCCCAUGAGUAGUCAUCGGAGGGUUGGUCUUGUUGAUAUUGUGGGGUUGGUCGGUGCAUGUUGCCAUGUAAUACAAACUCCCAUGUCAGGUUUAAAUUGUCCGGAUUCGCCUUCUGUUUCAGCAGCGUGAAUUGGUCCUGUGCUAUAGCUACCAGAGAAUAUGUGAAAAUGCGUAUUCCGCAGUCUCUAGCGUCUGUCCUGGACACAGUACAGUAUCCUAGAAUGUUGAGACGAGUUUUCCAGGAUCAAAUGGAAAGUCUAUCUGCCAGUAACAACCAAACCAUGGCUAAGCUUUUGCAAAGCAUCCAUGGAUGCCAUAGCCGCACAAAAUAGCUUUUACAUUGGUUGUGUGUGAAACCCUGUUGUUGCAUUGCGUGGUUGAAGCCAAGUUGAUGCCCUUUCUUUUGGGGGAGUACACAGUAUUCGCGUUUUGUGGUAUAGUUGGAUAGUGGGUUUUUCUUGUAGUGAGCCUUGCUUCCGCCAGUUCCAUUUGAGUGGAUCAAAUUUGUUAGUUUGUACAUCUCUGCCUCGGUGCGUCUAUACGGAGACACUGGGAUCGGGGCUUUUUUUUGAGUUAUAUUCGAUGAACUUUCCCAAGGGGGAUUUAAUAACUACUUUGGCUUCAUGGAUUGCGGAUUUGGGUGUGGAGGUCCCUUGUGAGACUACCGUGAGGAGGCUUGUGCCUCUCGUGUAAUAAUAAUGUGUGCCCUUCAAGCUUUGUAAAGAGCGUCCUGUGAUGUAAAAGACCGGUGCGCCCGUGCCUGUGGUAAUCCAAUCGCCCACAUCCGGAGUAGUUUCGCAGUUCAAGUUCCACCGGAUGUCUUGUUGUGUUUGUGUCAUCAGCGACUCGAUCCUCUAUGAUUUUGUUUGUUGCCCGAUAUUUCUCGUACUUUAGAAUGUCUGGCUUCCGGUGUCCCAUAGGUCGCCUACCCAAAAGAUAUCCUUGUUUGACCAGUUUUUGUAUUUGGAAUUUCCUUCCUUGCCUAGUUUGAUUUGGUUUGUUGUGCAUAUUUCUGGGUUCAGGUAAAGAAGUUGGUGACCCUGUUCUGCUGAAGUUUUGGACGGUGUUUUAACAAGGCUCUCUCUAACCAAUGCGUCCAAUGCGUCCAAUGAGACCAAUGCGUCCCAAAUAGCCUUCCAUAACUCCAAGCCUUGUGGUUUGAUGCGAUGGGC
Molecule: long non-coding RNA, 1645 nt
Filed under: Physcomitrium patens
Lineage: Eukaryota; Viridiplantae; Streptophyta; Bryopsida; Funariales; Funariaceae
Description: long non-coding RNA (PPAT_LNC005539)
Source: RNAcentral